Molecule: ribosomal RNA, 468 nt
Filed under: uncultured bacterium
Lineage: Bacteria
Description: partial 16S ribosomal RNA
Rfam family: Bacterial small subunit ribosomal RNA
Source: RNAcentral
GACGAACGCUGGCGGCGUGCUUAACACAUGCAAGUCGAACGGAAAGGCCCUGCUUUUGUGGGGUGCUCGAGUGGCGAACGGGUGAGUAACACGUGAGUAACCUGCCCUUGACUUUGGGAUAACUUCAGGAAACUGGGGCUAAUACCGGAUAGGAGCUCCUGCUGCAUGGUGGGGGUUGGAAAGUUUCGGCGGUUGGGGAUGGACUCGCGGCUUAUCAGCUUGUUGGUGGGGUAGUGGCUUACCAAGGCUUUGACGGGUAGCCGGCCUGAGAGGGUGACCGGCCACAUUGGGACUGAAAUACGGCCCAGACUCCUACGGGGGGCAGCAGGGGGGAAUAUUGCACAAUGGGCGGAAGCCUGAUGCAGCAACGCCGCGGGGGGGAGGACGGCCUUCGGGUUUGAAACCGCUUUCGCCUGUGACGAAGCGGGAGGGACGGUAAUGGGUAAAAAAACACCGGCUAACUACGGG